This 363-nucleotide ribosomal RNA is filed under the name uncultured bacterium. RNAcentral describes it as "bacterial SSU rRNA". It matches the Rfam family "Bacterial small subunit ribosomal RNA", at positions 8 to 334 of the family's 1533-position model. The record is from RNAcentral.
AGGGUUCGAUUAUGGCUCAGGACGAACGCUGGCGGCGUGCCUAACACAUGCAAGUCGAACGGAGUCUUUUUGUUUCACCGAGCACCCAAGGGGAUGGGUGUUAGGGGAAACGAAAAGACUUAGUGGCGGACGGGUGAGUAACGCGUGAGCAACCUGCCUUCUUGAGGGGGAUAACGCCUGGAAACGGGCGCUAAUACCGCAUAACAUCUUUCCUAUGCAUGUAGGAGAGAUCAAAGGAGCAAUCCGCAGGAAGAUGGGCUCGCGUCCGAUUAGCCAGUUGGCGGGGUAACGGCCCACCAAAGCGACGAUCGGUAGCCGGACUGAGAGGUUGAACGGCCACAUUGGGACUGAGACACGGCCCAG